CUCAUAAUUCGCAUCAUCACCGGUCUAGCCAGUUCUUUGCAUGCAGAAAAGGAGGCAUUUUUCCAUUCUGAGGCAUUCUCCGAUCCUCUGCGUCCUACUGCACGGACUGUUCGACACAUUGACAGACGUGACGUCAAGAAAACAGACACCACAGCAGACAUCAUGAAUCUAAACAACCAAGCCGUCUGUGUUGUAGCGGUCAUCGUGGGGUUUAUGUUCGGUGGAUUCCUCAUCACCAUGGGCCUGACGUAAACACCACAGAUAUCGUCAUUGACAACUAUGGUUGGUAGCUGAGUACAGGCUGACAGAGGACCGGAACACCAACACAGUCAGCAACAUCAUCCCUACAAUAUAGAUACACAGGACCCUGCUUUUAUGACAACUGAUUUUGUAAUGAUAUAGUAAAUGGCCAGCUAUAUACACUCGACCGACCUCCCGACUGUAGCUCCUCUGUUUAUAGCCAGCCUACUGUCGUUAUAGAGUACCUUUUGAAACCUAUUUCACAAGUGUUCACCACCAUAGUCAUCUUCUCCAACUAUCAUAUGCGUGUGCUGUUUCUAUAGAUAUUACAAAUCUUGCGUAUAUUUUACAAAAAAGGUGUUACUUGUUAUUCAUCGAGGCUAUAGACUGUAAUGACGACAUGAUGACGCAAAACUGACCUCGGUUUUUCGUCACGAAUUUGUCAUCGGUCUUUGAGCUUCAUGCAGUAGUCAGACUGUGACGUAAUGAUGACGUAACCUCCACCAUGGGAUUUUGUCAUGAUAUCGUGAAUGGUCAGCUGACACUCGACCAACCUCCCGACUGUAGCACUUCUGUUUAUAGCCAACCCACUGUCGUUACAAGUACUAUACCAAACGUCUCUCACCAGUGUUUAACCCGACAGUCGUUUUCUCAACAAAUGCGUGGUAAGACUUCUGCUGUUCUGCAAACAUUAUAAUUACAAAUGUCCAUUUCAAAAGUGUGAGAUUACUUGUUAUUCACCGAAGCUCUAGACUUUAAUGACGACAUGAUGACACAAAACUUGACUUGGUUUUCCGUCACGAUGUUGUCAUCCGUCUUUGAGUUUCAUGCAGUAGUCAGACUGUGACGUAAUGAUGACGUAACCUCCACCAUGGGAUUUUGUCAUGAUAUCGUGAAUGGUCGGCUACACCCGACCGGUACUUUGCAUUGAAUGAUAGCCGCUCUUCUGUGCUCCGAUUUCUUAGAGACCUCACGUCACUGUGACAUAAUGUACUAGUAUGUUACCCAGACAUUGUGUCAGAUGUAAUCGUUUAGUCUUUUUUUUAAUUGUGAAGUUUGGAGCCUGAUUGAAGCGUAUUGUAGACAAACUCUACAGUCGUGUUCACAUCGUGUAAGCCACAUGAUUUGAGGCAAAGUUUCCUGGUCUGCUAUUUCCUUUCUUUGAUGUAAAUAAAGCAAUCUAACCCGCAUGAAAACAGACUUGAGUCCUGUUAUUUAGCAGAUAACAUGAGUUCUAUCCGCUGAAUCAAAAUGCCUGUGAAUGAAGAGAACUGAAGCGGUCCAAUGUAUGUGGAUUUGGUAUAGCCCCGCCCUCCCAAGGAUUUUAUUGGUAUCCCCGAAUGCGGAGCCAAUCCAGCUCAUCACAGGAUAUCGCGAUUAUGCGUGCAAACCAGCUGUAAUUUUGUUUAAUCGUAAUUCGCAUAAUGACCAGUCUAACCAGUUCUGUGCCUGCAGAAAGGCAGGCAUUUUCUCUGAGGCAUUCUCAUUCUCUGCCUCCUACUGCACGGACUGUUCGCCGCAUUGACAGGUAAAACGACAGGAGUGACUGCAAGAAAGCAGACACUACAGCAGAAAUCAUGGAUAUAAACAACCAGGCCGUCUGUUGUGUAGCGGUCCUCGUGGGAUUAAUGUUCAGUGGAUUCCUCAUCACCAUGGGCAUGGUCUAAAAACACGACAGAUAUCGUCAUUGGCAACUAUGGUUGGUAGCUGACUACAGACUGCCAGCGGACCGGAACACCAACACAGUCAGCAACAUCAUCCCUACAAUAUAGAUACACAGGACCCUGCUUUUAUGAUAACUGAUUUUGUCAUGAUGUAGUGAAUGGUCAGCUACAUAAUGUCAACCGACCUCCCGACUAUAGCUCUUCUGUUUAUUCCUUAAUUGUUAUUCACCGAAGCUAUAGACUUUAAUGACGACAUGAUGACGCAAAAAUGACCUCGGUUUCUCGUCACGAUGUUGUUAUCCGUCUUUGAGCCUCAUGCAGUAGUCAGACUG
Molecule: long non-coding RNA, 2236 nt
Organism: Branchiostoma belcheri (Belcher's lancelet)
Lineage: Eukaryota; Metazoa; Chordata; Leptocardii; Amphioxiformes; Branchiostomatidae
Exons: 5
Source: RefSeq, a predicted model, not a curated record